This is an RNA transcript of Pangasianodon hypophthalmus (striped catfish), 3645 nucleotides long. It is a transcript of the gene named nephronectin, with no coding region annotated. The record is from RefSeq and is a predicted model, not a curated record. The transcript is spliced from 13 exons. Lineage: Eukaryota; Metazoa; Chordata; Actinopteri; Siluriformes; Pangasiidae.
CUCUCUCUCUCUCUCUCUCUCACACACACACACACACACACACACGCCGUCUUUAUCUCUCACCGGUCUCACAGCGUUUCACCGGGCAGCAGACGCGCGUCUCGCGCACUGAACGGGAACUCUCCUCCCGGUUUAUCAGCGCGCGCGGGGAUUCCUGGUCAAUAACCGAGCGCCCUGUGGGAAGUGGUGUGUGUGUGUGUGUGUGUGUGUGUGUGAGAGAUGGAGUGUGUGUGAUGGAGUGUGUCCCGUAGAGAGGAAUCACAGCAGCACCGCGGGCAUGGAGCAGAGAAUACCGGGAUUAUUACUGCUGCUGCUGAGCGGCGCGUGCGUCCCGGAACAAGUCUUAACGGAACACAGGCGUUCUGUGCUGGAGAUGUCGACCAAUGGGAUUUGUCGUUAUGGGAACAGAGUGGAUUGCUGCUGGGGCUGGACACGAGAGAGCUGGGGACAGUGCAGACCGGUGUGUGAGUUGGGCUGUAAACACGGCGAGUGUGUUGGUCCAGAUCAGUGCCGCUGUCACCAGGGAUACACGGGCAAGACCUGCAACCAAGAUGUGAACGAGUGUGGGCUGAAGCCGCGGCCGUGUAAACACCGCUGUAUGAACAUGGUGGGCAGUUAUAAGUGUUUCUGUCUCACCGGCUACAUGAUGACCCACGACGGCACCUGCAGGAACAGCCGGACGUGUGCGAUGGCUAACUGUCAGUACGGCUGUGCGGUGAUGAAGGGGGAGGUCAUGUGUCAGUGCCCGUCGCCGGGGUUACGGCUCGGCCCAGACCGCAGGACGUGUGUUGACAUUGAUGAGUGUGCGACGGGCGUGGCCAAGUGUCCGAGGUUCCGGCAGUGUGUGAACACAUUCGGCAGCUACAUCUGCAAAUGUCACAAAGGCUUUGAGCUGCGUUACGUAAAUGGCAAAUACCAGUGUACAGAUAAGAACAACCCCUGCCAUGAAAAGCCAGACUCCAAAAAGUGCAGAUGUAAACUCGGGACCAAGGGGUGGAGCUAUGACUGCAAAUUUGUUAUUACAGUGACUGUUGAUCCAGCCAGACCGAUUACAACACCCAGACCUACAGCUAAAAUCACCGUAGCAACUAGCCCACCAACCACAGCCAAGAAACCAGCCAUGACAACCAUUACUAUGACAACAACCACAACAACCACUUCACCAACAACAACCACCACCACCACAGCAACAACAACCACUUCACCAACAACCACCACAGCAACAACAACCACUUCACCAACAACCACCACAACGACAACAACCACUUCACCAACAACCACCACAACAACAACAACCACUUCACCAACAACCACCACCACAAUGACAACAACUCCAAACACUGUCUCUACAACAACAGCACCAACCACUGUUGCUAUGACAACAGCACCAAACACUUUUGCUAGUACAACACCAACCAUGACUGCUACAACCACAGUAGCAACCACUGCUGCUAUGACAACAAUGCCAACCACUGUCACUAUGACAACGAUGUCAACGACAACAAUGGCAAAGACUGUGGCUACGACAACAAUGCCAACAACCACCACCAUGGCAACAACCACGGCACUGCCAACAACCGUGCAGCUAAUCACCACCACGCUGGAUAACCGCAUACAGGAGAUCACACAGAGGCCGAGGGGAGACGUACACAUUCCGAGGAAUCCGGAGCAGAACGUGUUCGAGCUGGACUUUGAUGAUAUCGAGUUGGGGAACACGGCAGAUUUUGCACGUGAUGAUCCAGCUGCUGGCUCUUUGAGCUGCUCUUUUGAUCAGGGUGUGUGCAGCUGGAUGACGGAUCGGGACGGAGAUCUGCGCUGGGAGACGGUAGAUGAUCCACACGGUGGGCGGUACCUGACUGUACCAGAGCCAAAGACAGAACGAAGUUUAAGAGGGGCGCGGCUCACCAUCCCUUUAGCCCCACCCACUAUUCCUCCUUGGAAAGGGAGUGAUCUUUGCCUGGCAUUUAGGCACCGCCUCCAAGGGCUUCUCAUUGGCUCCUUGCAGGUGUUUGUGAAAAAGGGGUGGGGCUACAGUCCUGCAGUCUGGACAAGGACAAGUGGACAAGGGUGGAGACACACCCAAAUCACACUGUGGGGGCGGAGCAUUGAAAGUGUGGUGUUUAAGGGAGAGAGGAGGAAGGGGCGGAGCGGAGAGAUCGCCAUUGACGACGUGAGCAUACACAGAGGAGUGUGCAGUAACAGAGGCCGGGACUGACACACACACACACACACACACACACACACACACACACACCAGAACUAUGAAUUAUUACAGAGGUGACCUCAGGUUUGGACUUUAACACUCGACUGCUCCACGCCGUCACCAUGGAUCCCACGCACCACAGUGGACUUCUGUCCUGGGGAUAUUAUGGGAUGGAAACGUUCACAGUAAAGUGGCUUUUUCACCUCAUGCAGAAAACAGACUGCUUUUUAAAAAACUAUAUACUUUAUGUGUACUGGGAAUCAGUGACGAGACCAGAGCGAGGGAUGAAAGACGUCCACACGCAGGACCACCAUUUAUUUCUUCAAGAGCUCGGUGUUUUGGGGAUUUCGAAGAGAAGCGUCCUGGCUGAAGCUCCUCAUGAUGAAGAUUGAUGGUUGAAGAUGUCAAGAGCUUCCUCAGAAAAAAAAACCUAAAAUAGAAAAUAGUUUGGAUUUGUUCUAAAAUAGAGACAAUAGUGUUAAUUAAGACCUUCUUUGAGCAGGGGUGUACAAACUUUUGACUAGUAGCAACUGUUUCAGACAUUUUGGUUUUACGUGGAGCUCUUAUCGUUCAGAUCAGCACUCUGUCUCCUGCCGCUGUCGGUCCUGAGUCAGUGCAGCGCGCGUCCCCGCUGCAGGAAGCGAUGUACACGUGAGUGAACGACACGCCGCCGUUUCCUCCCACUGUGCAGUUCUGAAGCUUUUAGUGUCGAACUGAAAGACGCCAUCUUGAGUGUGUUCAGUGAAGGUUGAAGCUAGAGUAACUUCCACCUCGAACACCAUCUCAAAGCGACGAGUACAGCGUUAUUAAUCAAUAUACAAAACACUGAAGUGUAGUUGUGUGAUUUUUGCAGGCAUUUUGAUUUUAUUGUUGUCAGGAAGAGAUUUUAGAGCUUUGAGUCCUGACUGACUGAGCUACUAUUGCUAGCGAGCUGAUAUUAUCCUUCAUUUUAAUCAAAGUCAUGUAUCUAAAAAGUCAACAUUUAUUUAUCACAGCAUUUUCUCUGUUUUGAGGAAAGAAUCUGCUGUCCCUGAUGUUCCUCCAGCUCUGACAGCUGCCCUGAGCUACGCGCUCUUUUAUUCUCCACUCGAUCUGUCGGUGGAGUUUGUUUAAAAAGGAGAAAACUUCCCAAGCUACUGCAACUGUUAGCCAAGUCAAGAGGGUUUUAUUGUUACUCCUCUAUGUAGCUUGUGUACAUAAAUGUCAUUUCUGCAGGACCACGGUGCAACACAGGACAGUACACAAGACUGCAUAACGUGCAGAUACACAACAGUGUGAAAUGAGAGCAGGACAAUAAAUACACAUUUUAAUUUGUUAAUUUAAUUUAAUGUCAUUUGAGAGUAAAAAAAACAAAUACUGAAAGAGCAAAAUGUUUUGAACAGACGAUCGUUUGAUCGCACUUCUCCUCGGUUGUGACGUCCUUUCGAUUAACGACAGCCUUC